CCUACGGUAGGCUGCAGUGGGGAAUAUUGCACAAGGGGCGCAAGCCUGAUGCAGCCAUGCCGCGUGUGUGAAGAAGGCCUUCGGGUUGUAAAGCACUUUCAGCGGGGAGGAAGGCGUUAAGGUUAAUAACCUUGUCGAUUGACGUUACCCGCAGAAGAAGCACCGGCUAACUCCGUGCCAGCAGCCGCGGUAAUACGGAGGGGGCAAGCGUUAAUCGGAAUUACUGGGCGUAAAGCGCACGCAGGCGGUCUGUCAAGUCGGAUGUGAAAUCCCCGGGCUCAACCUGGGAACUGCAUUCGAAACUGGCAGGCUAGAGUCUAGUAGAGGGGGGUAGAAUUCCAGGUGUAGCGGUGAAAUGCGUAGAGAUCUGGAGGAAUACCGGUGGCGAAGGCGGCCCCCUGGACAAAGACUGACGCUCAGGUGCGAAAGCGUGGGGAGCAAACAGGAUUAGAUACCCGUGUAGUC
RNAcentral lists this ribosomal RNA (465 nucleotides) under uncultured Klebsiella sp. RNAcentral's name for it is "bacterial SSU rRNA". It matches the Rfam family "Bacterial small subunit ribosomal RNA", at positions 338 to 795 of the family's 1533-position model. Lineage: Bacteria; Pseudomonadati; Pseudomonadota; Gammaproteobacteria; Enterobacterales; Enterobacteriaceae. The record is from RNAcentral.